RNAcentral lists this microRNA (22 nucleotides) under Monodelphis domestica (gray short-tailed opossum). RNAcentral describes it as "mdo-miR-7398e-3p". The record is from miRBase by way of RNAcentral. Lineage: Eukaryota; Metazoa; Chordata; Mammalia; Didelphimorphia; Didelphidae.
UAAUUCUCCCUUCUCUUACUGU